UUCUCUUAAGAUGGAUAUUGGCAGAAAGAGACAUGUCGCCUACAAAUUUCCUGUGGUUUGCUUGGGGCCUAUUCAACAGCUGAUGAAGUUAAUGGAUCACAGUUCUCUAGAAGGAUUCCGGAAGGAGUACGGUUUGAUUCUAAGUUUCGUCACGGUUCUUUCCAAAGAUCAACAUGAUGCUCUCUUUACAUUGUUGCAGUUCUAUGACCCUCCAUUGAGGUGUUUCACGUUC
This 232-nucleotide long non-coding RNA is filed under the name Lathyrus oleraceus (garden pea). RNAcentral describes it as "Pisum sativum (pea) long non-coding RNA (PSAT_LNC012459)". The record is from RNAcentral. Lineage: Eukaryota; Viridiplantae; Streptophyta; Magnoliopsida; Fabales; Fabaceae.